GCUGGGAUAGCUCUGUUGGCGGAGCACGAGACUCUGAAUCUCAGAGUUCUGGGUUCAAGUCCCACACUGGCA
Molecule: non-coding RNA, 72 nt
Organism: Podarcis lilfordi (Lilford's wall lizard)
Lineage: Eukaryota; Metazoa; Chordata; Lepidosauria; Squamata; Lacertidae
Source: the annotation of a GenBank genome assembly